CCUACUCUUAGCUCAGUUAUCGUGCUUAAUCCACCUCCAGACCUGGGUUUCCCGAGGAGCUAACCUAAUCCAAUGUAUAUACUUUACUCUUCUGAUCACCAGUGAUUGGUUCAGAGAUUGAGAUGAACUUGAAAUUGCUGGGGUUCUUCCCAUGGAAUCUUAACCCAGGAGAAACAGCUAAGAAAUGGAUCCUGCUUAUAUAAACUCCAAACCAAGCCAGGUCCAUAAAAACCAAAGCUGGGUUUUGAUAUGGCUUUCUAUACUCAUUUAAAUGUAGGUAUAUUACAAAAUAAAGCCAAAUGUGAAGGUUUGCCUAGGAAAACUGGAUAGUCUGCUCACUGAACUGCCUGUUAAAAUAUUCCUUUAGCCAAGCCCAUGCUAAGACAGGAUAAGAUGAUUAUUUGUACCACACACUCCAAUCUCCAGGGCAGUUUAUCAGCCUUUCAUCUCUGCAGAGACAGUAUCAAUCAGUGGUGCCUAAAAGCUGGUCUGCACACUGGGGAUGGCUGAGUAAUAACAUUCCCACUGGCCCACAGCAUUCUUAGAUAAAUUCCACUGCUAUACGAUGGUGAGCAGAACCCUGAGCCAAGUCCUAGACAUGAGAACCAACUGAGGGAUAGUGCUCUGAAGCUCCCUCCAGCCCUGGCUAGACAACUGGCUUAACCUCCCCCACCAGACAGCAAGGGGAAGCCAGAAGUAGCUAGAAGCAUGGAGGCCACUGCUCCAUGGCUUUUAG
RNAcentral lists this long non-coding RNA (736 nucleotides) under Bos taurus (domestic cattle). RNAcentral describes it as "long non-coding RNA NONBTAT010864". Lineage: Eukaryota; Metazoa; Chordata; Mammalia; Artiodactyla; Bovidae. The record is from RNAcentral.